AGUGACACCCGAACCCGACGAUGCAGACCCGCCAGAAACCCUAAUAUCCUCUCCGGAAACCGUUUGACCACCCUGGGAGCCGAAGGCGGGGUGUUGGUGGGAAGAGAGGCUCAAAGACAGUCCCUGCUUGGCGCGUGGGGUGUCACGCGCGGGUGGACUAGGGUAAUUGGGGUUGUACAGGUUGUAGUGGACGCGCGGCAGGAGUCCAUGCAGAGGGGAGAUGGAGUCAUCCUGAUGAGCGGUGGUGGGGAUGCCGACGAAGUGUUGAGUGUGGGAAGGUGGCGGCGGCGCGUGAGGGGAGAUGGCAGAGGAGUUGAGGAAAAUGAGGCUGUUGUGAGCCGGCGCCGGCGCCGGAGGAGGAUUUGUGUCGGAGAAUUGUUGCUGUUGCUGUUGUUGUUGUUGAACGUAAGUUGUAGGGUUCAUAAGUACGAGGGUUUGAAGCCCAUCUGGGGCUUGAAACUCAGCUGGGUUCCCAUGAAAGUACGUUGCCAUCCUGUUACCUUAUUAUUUUGAUCUUGUGUUCUUGAAAAACGAAACCGAAACGAACUGAAAAUGAAAAGGGAUUACGUUAGUUUUCACUUUCACAUGACAUGCUCAUGCAUAUCAAUAUCAAUAUCAAUAUCAGUAUAUAUCAUAUAUCACAUGUUUGUUUCGGGAAAAAACAUAGUACAAUUAUGUUUUUAUUUACCUUAUAAUUGCCUGAUUUGAGUCUUAAUUUGAGCAAUCAGCCCAUCGAUGGAUCGAUCUUAUCAAGCAAAACCUGAAAGGAAAUUGACAGAUGAUGGAUAAUUUAUUCAUAUUUAUUCAUCUUCUAUGUGGCUAGAAGAUGAUGGUGAAGAGGAAAAGGAAAGGGAGUGAAACAAGAAGGGAUGUAGGUUAUAUAUAUAUAUAUAUAUAUAGAGAGAGAGAGAGAGAGAGAGAGAGAGAGAGAGAGAGAAUUGAAUUGAAUAAGAAGGUAUUUGUUAACAAUAAUAUCAAGUACCUGGUGUGAAGGAAAAUUGAGUGUGCACGUGCAGCUUCAUGAUCAAUCUACACUGCUGCAAGGGGAAAGAAUGGAAGGAAAAGGGAAAAAAGAGUUCAUUUAAAAGAAAUGACCUUACUAUUGUUAAGACAAGCAAACAAACAAAGCCCCCAUGAAAGUGAACAUUUUGAAAGAACAGAAGAAAGAAAUGAUCAGCAUAGAUAAAUACUAGAGUACAGUUACAUGGGAGAUGGUGGGGGGAGGGAAAGGAAGCAACACAAGAAACUAACCUGCUGCCUAUAUAUGAAUCUUCACUAAUAGGUGAAAGCACUUUGUCAGACUUCAAAUCUCUGCAACUUCCCCACUGAAAAGGAAAAAAUAUAUUAUAAGUUAUGAGAGAGAUGGGGUUAUUAUUAAAAAGGCUGGGAAAAAGAUACCCAUCUUUAUUCACUCAUUAUCCACACACACAUAUUUAAUCUCACCUCUUUUUUUUUCUUUUUCUUUUUUCCAAUCAAACCGAACAGAAAAAGAAAAAAAAAAUCAAAUUUUCUUUAAAAAAAAAAAUGAGUAAAUUGAGGUUAUGUGAUUGUGAAAGGUUGUUAUUCUUUACUACACAAAUAGUAGUUUUUUUUUUUUCAAAUUUUGGGUUUUCUUUUACGGCUUCUGAGAGAAGUACCUGCGAAUGGAUCAAAACAAGGGAACUUCAAUUUGGUGAUUUGACUCUUCUGCCAUGCUUUGCUUUUCAAAUCAUUUGAUAUGGAGCAGAGCAGUGAUGAGCUACAGAAAAUUCUUGAGUGAGAGUGCGAGGAGAGAGGGAGAUGUGUGUGUGUAUCUCUGUAUGUAAUUUUUUUGUACUACCAAUGAAAUAUAUUUAGCAUGAGUGUGCAUAUAUAUAUAUAUAUAUAUAUAUAACGCGAUAAAACGAAAUUUCAUAUCCAUAAUAAUAAUAAUAAUAAGCGUGUCAGAUGACACAAACAGCUGAAAAACGAGGAAACGUCUUCUUCUAACAAAGUUUGUAAUUAAAAAUUUUAUAAACGAAUACAUACAUAUAUAUGAAAGGAAAGAUGAUGAUGAUGAUGAUGAUGAUGAUGAUGAUAAUGAUAAAGAGUAUAGUGUUGAAUUUGGCGAGAGGGGUCCCCCUAUUUGUUGAUUUUCAUAUUAAAUAAAUAUCCGUUUGUCUCUUUUUUGAUAUUUUCAUUUUGUGAUUAAUUUGGUUAUUUUUUGUGGUUGGAUGACCGAGUUUCAAGAUAAAGCAAUUAAAUUGCAGGGGACCAACCACCAUUACAGCUUCUAUAAGCUUUAAUUGCAUAUCUAUUUAUCUAUUUAUUAUAGAAUUAAUUUCUGUUGAAUAUAUAUGCAGCACGUAUAAAAAUGAAUGACAAUAAAAUUUCAAUACCAAAGAAUAUACCCGAUAGUAAAUAAUUUAUCAGAUAGUCGACUAAAAAUUAUAAUUAUGAUCUUACUUAAGUUAACUCAAAGUUUAUUAAAAGAUCUAGCUGACAUGUGAUUCAAUGGUUUCAUUAACAAAGUAGAUAAAAAUAUGUUUUCUACAACUUUAAUUGAGCACUAAUUAUAAACUUGAUAUUUACUUAAGUAAAGCACCAAAUCGAUCAUGGGGAAAGAAAAAAAAAAUCUUAUCUUAUAUAUAUACAUGUAAGAGAGCAUCAUAAUCAAGCGAUAAUUUAAAGUAUAAGGUCCCCCACUAGGUUCUAGUACAUGAAACCUACUAGAAAAACUAUAGAAGAUCGUAUGGGGAAAAAAAUUAUAAAUGAUUGGGUCAACUAUUAGCUUCUGCCAUUUUCUCCUCCUUUUUUUUUUUUUUUUUUUUUUGAGUUCCUUUGAUCUUAAUUUAUUUAUGUAUUUAUUUGUCUUGAUCUUCAAUCACCUUUUGAGAGCAUCAAAGGAUCCAUAGAUAGAGUUCAUAAUCUAAUCAAAUCUGAAGAAAUUAAUUUAUAGAACAAAGACGGAGGUGUUUGGUGGUAAAAAAAUACUAUAAAAAAACUAUAUGUACUAAUGAAUGGAAAUAUAAAUUAAACAAAUUAAUUAAGAAGGUACAGCAGAUCUAAUUACUUGAUUAAUUAAUUAACUAAACCUAAAUAUCUGAAACCAUAAUUUUCAGAAACUUUUCUAUCGCCAUCAUCAGUAACAAUGAUGGUGCAAAGAAUGACUACUGACACAAACUUUUGAGUUAAUGAUGUUAAUAGGACUAGUUUUCAAAGCAGACACAUUCUAUUCUAUUCUAUUCUAUUCUAAUCUAUUCAUAGGCACUAUAAUAAUUAACAUAUCCAUGCUAUUAAUUAAUUUUCUGAAGCAUCCAUAAUUUAGAAUAAUAAUUCCUAGGAUUCUUCUUUGAGAAACAAUUUGUAUCGCUUUUCAAUUUUUACUUCUCUCUCUGUUACAGGCUUUUACUGGGAUUGUUUUCACUUCUAGUGAAAGCUCCUGCCAUGAUUUUUCACAUCAUCCCCUUUUUUUAUUAUUGUGUGGCACUUUCUACUUUUAUGGCUUGUUGUUGUACUCUUCGUUCUUUUUAACAAAGUUUGACUCUUUAUUGAGUAGAUAAAAUCAAUCUUAGGGUAUACAUCUCGAUUUAGGCAAUGUAUGUUACAUGUAACAUUCAAUACCAUAGUUUCUAUCAUAUCAAAUGGCCCUCUUUUUUAUCAUGCAUAUUUUAAUAGCUGAUGAGUGAUUAAUAAACAUUAACUAUAACUUAAUCAAUUUUAAUUAAAUUCAAUUAAAAUACGAGCACAAUACGUCUAAAUACAGAUGUCCAAAUUUUUGUUGAUUAAAAUAUCAAUUUCUCAUUUUUUGUACAUGGCCAAUUCAAAAUAUCUAAGUUAACUAAUUGACUUUCACUUGAAAUGAUAAAUUUGAGAAAAAAAAAAAAAAUUACACACAGCGACAACAGCAUAAGAAGGCAUCAAUCAUGCAAUAAAAAAGUGGGAUAAAAUCAUAUGAUUGAAGUGUCAGAUCCUCUUUGAAUUAUGAACGAUUAACCUUUAAAAUAUAGUUAAUGGGUUUAAUCAAUCAAUUACUAACUACUGCAUUAACUAGACCUUUCUAUAAUUGUAAAAUUAAAGUGCCACGUGUCUUUGUGGAUGAUUGCCCCUGGCAUUCAUUUCCACAAAUUGAGUGUUUGAAUGUAGCGAUUGAUGUUAAAAAUCUAGCUAAAAGUUAAUGAAACUAACCGUUCUAAAAUAGCACGUUGUCCGUCAAAUAAAUGAAUUCAUAAAAAAAAAUACACAUAAAAUAUCUACGCAUGGAUCCAUCAUCCAUCAAGGUUACCUACCAAAUCUCAUUUUUCCCUUUCCUAUGCUAUGUGUUAUCCAAUGUCACAUAUUUUUCACUAGCUUAGGCUCGUUUAAGGGUCUAUUUGAAUAUAAUUACUGAAAACAAGGAAUAAAAGUAAAAUGAUUGAGUUAUGUCAUUAAUAAUUAUGUACUUUUCGGUAGGGUAU
RNAcentral lists this long non-coding RNA (4415 nucleotides) under Citrus x clementina. Its description in RNAcentral is "Citrus clementina (C. clementina) long non-coding RNA (CCLE_LNC002045)". The record is from RNAcentral. Lineage: Eukaryota; Viridiplantae; Streptophyta; Magnoliopsida; Sapindales; Rutaceae.